CCCAGACAGCCAGGAUGUUGGCUUAGAAGCAGCCAUCAUUUAAAGAAAGCGUAAUAGCUCACUGGUCGAGUCGGCCUGCGCGGAAGAUGUAACGGGGCUAAACCAUGCACCGAAGCUGCGGCAGCGAACGUAUCACCCAAGACAACUUUACGGAGUUGACGAUUGACGGAGCGAAGCGACGUCAAAGCGUUCAUUAAAGUCGAGUUGGCUUAGGGAUACGUUCGUUGGGUAGGGGAGCGUUCUGUAAGCCUGUGAAGGUGUGUCGUGAGGCAUGCUGGAGGUAUCAGAAGUGCGAAUGCUGACAUAAGUAACGAUAAAGCGGGUGAAAAGCCCGCUCGCCGGAAGACCAAGGGUUCCUGUCCAACGUUAAUCGGGGCAGGGUGAGUCGACCCCUAAGGCGAGGCCGAAAGGCGUAGUCGAUGGGAAACGGGUUAAUAUUCCCGUACUUGGUGUUACUGCGAAGGGGGGACGGAGAAGGCUAUGUUGGCCGGGCGACGGUUGUCCCGGUUUAAGCGUGUAGGUGUGUGUUCCAGGUAAAUCCGGUUCACUUUAACACUGAGGCGUGACGACGAGGCACUACGGUGCUGAAGCAACAAAUGCCCUGCUUCCAGGAAAAGCCUCUAAGCAUCAGGUAACACGAAAUCGUACCCCAAACCGACACAGGUGGUCAGGUAGAGAAUACCAAGGCGCUUGAGAGAACUCGGGUGAAGGAACUAGGCAAAAUGGUGCCGUAACUUCGGGAGAAGGCACGCUGACACGUAGGUGA
RNAcentral lists this ribosomal RNA (766 nucleotides) under Salmonella enterica. RNAcentral's name for it is "partial 23S ribosomal RNA". It matches the Rfam family "Bacterial large subunit ribosomal RNA", at positions 1084 to 1765 of the family's 2925-position model. Lineage: Bacteria; Pseudomonadati; Pseudomonadota; Gammaproteobacteria; Enterobacterales; Enterobacteriaceae. RNAcentral also lists the same sequence under 3 other names. The record is from RNAcentral.